AUAAGGACCGUCGGGACGGCCAUGGUUCGAGGAAACGAACCAGCCGGUCUUAAGACCUUAAGGCUAGCGUUCCAUGGCCAAGAUAGAAGGUUAAGGACGUCAGGAUGCUGAGACUUAACCUUAUAAGAGAAAGAAGUCAGCUAGGAUAAGCUGUAUAGAAGCUGGGUGAUGCUUACGAGAAGCUCCAUCAGCUAAACGUAGCUCGGUCAAGCUCAGCCUAGCUCGUUCCAAGUUAAGUCAGCUCAACCAUCAGGACUACUAGCUCACUCAGCUGAGGCAGCUGGGAGUCAGCUCAUCUCAGCUCGACGGACUGUUCAGGUUUUGGGCCGAUGGUCUGGGUCCGGGUCAGUGGCGGGCCAGGAGGUCCGGCCAUGUGGUCCAUGAGUCGUUGGCUCUUGUGGGCAGGCCGUGGGCUUGGGUACCAAGCCUGGGCUUAGGUUAGACGUGCCUAUAAGGUCUGGAACCUUCCAUUUCCGAACAGGUACGAUCUGGACCGUUGAUUGUAAUCGAUGGCCAAGAUCUGUCCCAAAAGGAUGCUUCAAAGGGAUGUGUCCCUUUGCACAUGACCUUUGGUUGCCUAUAUAAAGGAUGCACGACAAGAGGUCAAUUCAUUCAUUCUGAUUCAGUUUCUGUAACGCCCGAAUCCGGCAUCUCGACGAAACUGGACGCGGUUGCUACUUAAUCAAUUUCUUUGCUUGUUUGUUUCAUUUUAAGUCUUUCCUUUACUAAGUCAAGUUCGAAUCUGAGGUUCUAAAACAAUUGAACAGAUAGCACAGCGGAAUAUAAAUGUGUAUAAAAUUUAUUACUUAGAAACAUGAUAU
Brassica rapa (field mustard) is the source of this 821-nucleotide long non-coding RNA. RefSeq lists it as uncharacterized. Lineage: Eukaryota; Viridiplantae; Streptophyta; Magnoliopsida; Brassicales; Brassicaceae. The record is from RefSeq and is a predicted model, not a curated record.